AGUCAACGCUGGCGGUAGGCCUAACACAUGCAAGUCCAACGGCAGCACAGAGGAGCUUGCUCCUUGGGUGGCGAGUGGCGGACGGGUGAGGAAUACAUCGGAAUCUACUCUGUCGUGGGGGAUAACGUAGGGAAACUUACGAUAAUCCCGCAUACGACCUACGGGUGAAAGCAGGGGACCUUCGGGCCUUGCGCGAUUGAACGCGCCGAAGACGGCUUAGCUAGUGGGCGGGGUAAAGGCCCACCAAGGCGACGAUCCGUAGCUGGUCUGAGAGGAUGAUCAGCCAGACUGGAACUGAGAAACGGUCCAGACUCCUACGGGAGGCAGCAGUGGGGAAUAUUGGACAAUGGGCUCAAGCCUGAUCCAGCCAUACCGCGUGGGUGAAGAAGGCCUUCGGGUUGUAAAGCCCUUUUGUUGGGAAAGAAAUCCAGCUGGCUAAUACCCGGUUGGGAUGACGGUACCCAAAGAAUAAGCACCGGCUAACUGCGUGCCAGCCGCCGCGGUAA
This 506-nucleotide ribosomal RNA is filed under the name uncultured bacterium. RNAcentral's name for it is "partial 16S ribosomal RNA". It matches the Rfam family "Bacterial small subunit ribosomal RNA", at positions 32 to 523 of the family's 1533-position model. The record is from RNAcentral.